UGCCUAAUACAUGCAAGUAGAACGCUGAAGCUUGGUGCUUGCACCGAGCGGAUGAGUUGCGAACGGGUGAGUAACGCGUAGGUAACCUGCCUCUUAGCGGGGGAUAACUAUUGGAAACGAUAGCUAAUACCGCAUAAAAGUCGAUAUCGCAUGAUAUUGAUUUGAAAGGUGCAAUUGCAUCACUAAGAGAUGGACCUGCGUUGUAUUAGCUAGUUGGUGAGGUAACGGCUCACCAAGGCGACGAUACAUAGCCGACCUGAGAGGGUGAUCGGCCACACUGGGACUGAGACACGGCCCAGACUCCUACGGGAGGCAGCAGUAGGGAAUCUUCGGCAAUGGGGGCAACCCUGACCGAGCAACGCCGCGUGAGUGAAGAAGGUUUUCGGAUCGUAAAGCUCUGUUGUAAGAGAAGAACGAGUGUGAGAGUGGAAAGUUCACACUGUGACGGUAACUUACCAGAAAGGGACGGCUAACUACGUGCCAGCAGCCGCGGUAAUACGUAGGUCCCGAGCGUUAUCCGGAUUUAUUGGGCGUAAAGCGAGCGCAGGCGGUUAGAUAAGUCU
Molecule: ribosomal RNA, 563 nt
Filed under: Streptococcus mitis
Lineage: Bacteria; Bacillati; Bacillota; Bacilli; Lactobacillales; Streptococcaceae
Description: bacterial SSU rRNA
Rfam family: Bacterial small subunit ribosomal RNA
Source: RNAcentral